GGGCCCGCACAAGCGGUGGAGCAUGUGGUUUAAUUCGAUGCAACGCGAAGAACCUUACCAUCCCUUGACAUCCAGUGAACUUUCUAGAGAUAGAUUGGUGCCUUCGGGAACACUGAGACAGGUGCUGCAUGGCUGUCGUCAGCUCGUGUUGUGAGAUGUUGGGUUAAGUCCCGCAACGAGCGCAACCCUUAUCCUUAGUUGCCAGCGAUUCGGUCGGGAACUCUGGGGAGACUGCCGGUGAUAAACCGGAGGAAGGUGGGGACGACGUCAAGUCAUCAUGGCCCUUACGGGAUGGGCUACACACGUGCUACAAUGGCGCGUACAAAGGGCAGCGAACCUGCGAGGGUAAGCGAAUCUCAUAAAGCGCGUCGUAGUCCGGAUUGGAGUCUGCAACUCGACUCCAUGAAGUCGGAAUCGCUAGUAAUCGUGGAUC
This 433-nucleotide ribosomal RNA is filed under the name uncultured bacterium. Its description in RNAcentral is "bacterial SSU rRNA". It matches the Rfam family "Bacterial small subunit ribosomal RNA", at positions 917 to 1350 of the family's 1533-position model. The record is from RNAcentral.